AGGAUUUCUUCAUAACUGCGAAGACUCUGAGAUAAAACAGUUCCGGCUCCAUGCUCCAUUAUUUUUGGACCUCUGUGGAAGUCUUACUGGAGGGGAAGAAUUUUGGCUUUCAUCCAAGGCAACAUAGCUGGACUGUAUGGAAUAACAGUCUUGAAGGAUGUCUCAACCACAAGCCCCUUUCCAGGAGAUAAGAAGUAAAUGCUUUCCAUGACUAGAAGGAAUGUCACAGGCAUGUAUUAGAGAUUCUGUUCUUGAGAGAGACAUCCUCUGAAGGUGUUUCAUGCUCUUCAGGCUAUGAACAAUGUGCUAAUAAUUCUCAGAGGAGUACGGAUAGCGAUCCUAGAGCCAGAAAAGCCAACUUCAGGAAAAGCAAAGUACAUGAGUCACUCUAGAAAUCUGGACGUGUGCAUGUGGAAGCAGGAGUCUUACCCCAAUGAAACUGGGACACGUAACCUUAGCCCCACCAACCUGUACUGCACUCAGAACUGCAGCCACCUCCGACAGUGAGCAUGCACUAAGUGCCAUUCCAUGUGGCAGAGCUAAGGUUGAUGGUGUGCUUUGCCUGAAGUUAGCAGGAUACCCAGAAGAUGGUUGUAAUUGUAGGUAAGUGUUGGCAUGUGAGGAAGGCAGGGCCAAGACAAUACAUUUGUAAUGUGAAAUGUUUAGCAUUUGCUGGCAUAAUUCCUCCCUAUUGAAAGUGGUGAAAAUGAGUCUUGCUUUUGUAUUUAUUGUGGACUGAAUUAAGUAAUGGAGUGGGCAAACAAAGCUACUUUUGGCUUACUUCCAGAAUAUGCAGAAGGUAAGGUUAUGUGGACAAUCACACUGCAUGAAAUAGA
Cygnus olor (mute swan) is the source of this 836-nucleotide long non-coding RNA. RefSeq lists it as uncharacterized. NCBI's taxonomy places the organism in Eukaryota, Metazoa, Chordata, Aves, Anseriformes, Anatidae. The transcript is spliced from 5 exons. The record is from RefSeq and is a predicted model, not a curated record.